UGCAUAUCAAUAAGCGGAGGAAAAGAAACCAACAGGGAUUGCCUUAGUAGCGGCGAGUGAAGCGGCAAGAGCUCAAAUUUGAAAUCUGGCGUAAGCCCGAGUUGUAAUUUGAAGAAGAUAUUCUUGGAAUUGGUCCUUGUCUAUGUUCCUUGGAACAGGACGUCACAGAGGGUGAGAAUCCCGUGCGACAAGGAAUUCUUUUCUUUAUAAGAUGUCUUCGAAGAGUCGAGUUGUUUGGGAAUGCAGCUCAAAGUGGGUGGUAAAUUCCAUCUAAAGCUAAAUAUUGGCGAGAGACCGAUAGCGAACAAGUACUGUGAAGGAAAGAUGAAAAGAACUUUGAAAAGAGAGUGAAAAAGUACGUGAAAUUGUUGAAAGGGAAGGGUAUUCGAUCAGACUGGUAUUUAAUUAUCGCUACUCCUUGUGGGUGGUGCUCUAAUUUCUUACUGGGCCAACAUCAGUUUUGGUGGUAAGAUAAUCGCAGUUGAAUGUGGCUCCUCGGAGUGUUAUAGCUUCUGUUGAUGUUACCUACCGGGACUGAGGUCUGCGACUUUGUCUAGGAUGUUGGCGUAAUGAUCCAAUACCGCCCGUCUUGAAACACG
This 599-nucleotide ribosomal RNA is filed under the name [Candida] sp. RNAcentral's name for it is "LSU rRNA". It matches the Rfam family "Eukaryotic large subunit ribosomal RNA", at positions 37 to 663 of the family's 3401-position model. Lineage: Eukaryota; Fungi; Ascomycota; Saccharomycetes; Saccharomycetales. The record is from RNAcentral.